GACGAACGCUGGCGGCGUGCUUAACACAUGCAAGUCGAACGGUGAAGCGCCUUCCUGGGGUGUGGGUGGGGAGGAGUGGCGAACGGGGGAGUAACACGAGAGCAACCGGCCCCGUUCUUCUUGAUAACCGCAUGAAAGUGUUGCUAAUACGUGAUAUUCUGGGUCUGUCGCAUGAUGGGUCUAGGAAAGAUAUUGUUUCGGUGUGGGAUGGGCUCGCGGCAUAUCAGCUUGUUGGUGGGGUGAUGGCCUACCAAGGCGGUGACGGGUAGCCGGCCUGGGAGGGUGGACGGUCCAGCUGGUACUGAGCCACGGGCCAGACUACUACGGGCGGCAGCAGUGGGGAUUAUUGCACGAUGGGAGCAAGCCUGAUGCAGCGACGCCGCGUGAGGGAUGGAGGCCUUAGGGUUGUGAUCCUCUUUCGCCAGUGAAGCAGGCCUGACUCGUUUGUGGGUGGGUUGACGGUAGCUGGAUAAGAAGCGCCGGCUAACUACGUG
Molecule: ribosomal RNA, 494 nt
Filed under: uncultured bacterium
Lineage: Bacteria
Description: partial 16S ribosomal RNA
Rfam family: Bacterial small subunit ribosomal RNA
Source: RNAcentral